UACGUAGGGUGCAAGCGUUGUCCGGAAUUAUUGGGCGUAAAGAGCUCGUAGGUGGCGUGUCGCGUCUGCCGUGAAAGCCCAUGGCUUAACUGUGGGUCUGCGGUGGAUACGGGCAGGCUGGAGGCUGGUAGGGGCAAGCGGAAUUCCUGGUGUAGCGGUGAAAUGCGCAGAUAUCAGGAGGAACACCGGUGGCGAAGGCGGCUUGCUGGGCCAGUUCUGACGCUGAGGAGCGAAAGCGUGGGGAGCGAACAGG
RNAcentral lists this ribosomal RNA (253 nucleotides) under uncultured bacterium. RNAcentral's name for it is "partial 16S ribosomal RNA". It matches the Rfam family "Bacterial small subunit ribosomal RNA", at positions 524 to 776 of the family's 1533-position model. The record is from RNAcentral.